Long non-coding RNA from Ictalurus punctatus (channel catfish), 317 nucleotides. The record is from Ensembl. Lineage: Eukaryota; Metazoa; Chordata; Actinopteri; Siluriformes; Ictaluridae.
GAGAAAUCCUACCAAAGCUCUCCUUAUGGAUCACUUAUAGAGUAAGAUAGAGAUUGUUCUAGGUGCGUUAUAGACAGUGCAUUAUAGAGUAUAUGUUUACCGUGUUAUAGAGUGUGUUAUAGAUUAUAUGUUAGAGUUUACCGUGUUAUAGAGUGUGUUAUAGAUUAUAUGUUAGAGUAUGUUAGUGUUAGAGUGUGUUAGAGUAUACAUAUGUUAUAGAGUAUGUUAUAGAGUAUAUGUUAGAGUAUGUUAGUGUUAUAGAGUGUGUUAGAGUAUACAGUAUGUUAUAGAGUAUGUUAUAGAUUAUACUACAUGGG